GGAAGCUGGAGAGCACAGCCACAGGGCAGCUGGCCCCAAAAAGCCUGCGUGGGACGGGCCGGUGGGCACAUGCUGGAGGCCGCCCCGUUUCCGCCUGGGGACCAGCUGGCCGGUGGGGCCGCACUUUCCCUGGAUCCUCCGCCAAGAGGGCUGCCUGGCCGCUCCGCGGCACAGUCCAUUCCCUAACCCCUCCUCCCCGGCCCCUGCCCUGCCCUGCCCUGCCCGCGGCGGGCACUUUGUCCCGCGGCCCGGGUGGCUGCAGCUUAGGUUUCUCCCCGGAAGGAAAGCUUGAGGCGCACGGUUGCGGUCGGCCGGCUGCGGGAGACCAGGGGCCACACCUGCCGCGGAGGUUACAGUCGGUAAAGUAGAGCGGCGACACGAACUUCUCCACCCGCUCCAGCGUGGUGCGCCAGUGCUUCAAGGCCGGCGCAGCCGCCAUCGCCGGGCUCUCGCUCCUCUUUCCGGAAGGCCCCUGGCGCUACCGUUCCGCUCCACGGCAGGAAACCAAAGGUUCCGGCGUCCAGAGGGCGCCUCCCAGUCCCGGGCAGCUUUUCUUGGAACACGGGCGGCUCUCGGAAGCCCAGCUGCUGUCUGAAUUUUGAGCCGAGUUGGAAGCUAGAAACUGUUUUUGAGGCUCUCCUAUGUUGUCCGAAAUAGUGGGCCGCAGGGAAAAUCUCAAAAUAAAAUGGGAAAUUUGACGAUUAGAACUCUCGAAAGUCUCGAGACAGAGACUUAGGCCAUUCGGCAAGACAGGCGGGAGCCUCAGCUGCUGCAGACCCAGCCUCAGAAUCAGCAACCGGGAGACCUCUGGCUCUAGCUGUCGGUGAACACGGAAAGUGGUGUUUGCUUAACGUGGAGCCAGACUACCCGGAAUAGGUGUUUUCAUACCGGACGGAGAUCAGGGUGUUAGUGAGCAGGGAGGUAGAGCUUUACGCCCAAGUUACUACGACUUACUCGAUUACACGCUUUACUGAAUAUAUAUUGCUAACUCUUGCACAUCACCAGAAACUCUGGAGUUUGAGGUGGCAGAACAGUCAUGGCAUUGACGAUCCCAAUGGAAAAAUGUAUUUCACCAUACAGGACUGUAGAGUCCCGGGAAGCCAUAAUACCAGAAACAGACCUCCAGUUUCAUUCUCAUCCCUAGUACUCCACUGACAGCUUUAUUUUUUUCUCCUGGGGUUGCCAAGAGUCUUUGUCUAUAAAAUCAUUAGGAACAAAAAAAAAAAAAUACACAAGAUUAGCCCUGAUAUUUUAAUGGAAAUACUGACCAAGUUUACAACAUUUCAAAUGCAGAUCACACGGAAAGGUGACUAAGUACAGAAUAACAAAUGUGAUUUAAAAUAAAGAUAACCUGCUGCUGCAUAUAAUACAGGUUGGGUUUAGAGCUUGGAGCUCAGAUGUCAGACAGCAGGAGGAAUAAAAAUGCUACUUGUGAAAACCCAG
Molecule: long non-coding RNA, 1443 nt
Filed under: Pan troglodytes (chimpanzee)
Lineage: Eukaryota; Metazoa; Chordata; Mammalia; Primates; Hominidae
Description: lincRNA
Source: RNAcentral